UACAGAGGUGGCAAGCGUUGUUCGGAUUCAUUGGGCGUAAAGGGUGCGUAGGCGGCGCGGUAAGUCGGGUGUGAAAUCUCGGAGCUUAACUCCGAAACUGCAUUCGAUACUGCCGUGCUUGAGGACUGGAGAGGAGACUGGAAUUUACGGUGUAGCGGUGAAAUGCGUAGAUAUCGUAAGGAAGACCAGUGGCGAAGGCGGGUCUCUGGACAGUUCCUGACGCUGAGGCACGAAGGCCAGGGGAGCAAACGGG
Molecule: ribosomal RNA, 253 nt
Filed under: uncultured bacterium
Lineage: Bacteria
Description: partial 16S ribosomal RNA
Rfam family: Bacterial small subunit ribosomal RNA
Source: RNAcentral